Onychomys torridus (southern grasshopper mouse) is the source of this 3708-nucleotide RNA transcript. It is a transcript of the gene named nucleosome assembly protein 1 like 1, with no coding region annotated. Lineage: Eukaryota; Metazoa; Chordata; Mammalia; Rodentia; Cricetidae. The record is from RefSeq and is a predicted model, not a curated record. The transcript has 15 exons.
ACGUGCUGACGCUAAUUGUAUAUGAGCGCGAGCGGCGGGCUCUCGGGUCUUUUUUAGCGCCAUCUGCUCGCGGCGCCGCCUCCCGCUCCUCCCGCUCCUCCCGCCGCCGCCGCCGCCGCCGCCGCCGCCGCCGCCCUGAGUCACUGCCUGCGCAGCUCCGGCCCGUCCGGCUCCGCGUUCGAGCCUCCUGGAACGAUAUUUGGAAUUCUUACAAGAUGGCCGACAUGGACAACAAAGAACAGUCUGAACUUGAUCAAGAUUUGGAUGACGUUGAAGAAGUAGAAGAGGAGGAGACGGGUGAAGAAACAAAAAUCAAAGCGCGUCAGCUGACUGUUCAGAUGAUGCAAAAUCCUCAGAUUCUUGCAGCCCUUCAGGAAAGACUGGAUGGUCUGGUAGACACACCAACAGGAUACAUUGAAAGCUUGCCUAAAGUAGUCAAGAGACGAGUGAACGCUCUCAAAAACCUACAAGUGAAGUGUGCACAGAUCGAAGCCAAAUUCUAUGAGGAAGUUCAUGAUCUCGAGAGGAAGUAUGCUGUGCUCUACCAGCCUUUAUUUGAUAAGCGGUCUGAGAUCAUUAAUGCACUUUAUGAGCCUACAGAAGAAGAGUGUGAGUGGAAAGCAGACGAGGAAGAAGAAGUUGCAGAGGAAAUGAAAGAAAAGGCCAAGAUUGAAGAUGAGAAAAAGGACGAAGAGAAAGAAGAUCCUAAAGGGAUUCCUGAAUUCUGGUUGACCGUUUUUAAGAAUGUGGAUUUGCUCAGUGAUAUGGUUCAGGAACAUGAUGAACCUAUCCUGAAGCACUUGAAAGAUAUUAAAGUGAAGUUCUCAGAUGCUGGCCAGCCCAUGAGUUUUAUCUUAGAAUUUCACUUUGAACCCAAUGAAUAUUUCACAAAUGAAGUGUUAACAAAGACUUACAGGAUGAGGUCAGAACCAGAUGAUUCUGACCCCUUUUCUUUUGAUGGACCAGAAAUUAUGGGUUGUACAGGGUGCCAGAUAGAUUGGAAAAAAGGAAAAAAUGUUACUUUGAAAACCAUUAAAAAGAAGCAGAAACACAAGGGACGUGGGACAGUUCGUACUGUGACUAAAACAGUUUCCAAUGAUUCUUUCUUUAAUUUUUUUACUCCUCCUGAAGUCCCUGAGAAUGGAGAUCUGGACGAUGAUGCUGAAGCUAUACUGGCCGCAGACUUUGAAAUUGGCCACUUCUUACGGGAGCGGAUAAUCCCAAGAUCAGUGUUAUACUUUACUGGAGAGGCUAUUGAGGAUGAUGACGAUGAUUAUGAUGAAGAAGGUGAAGAAGCUGAUGAGGGUUAUCAGCUCUUUGAAGAAGUCAAAAGCUGCAGUAAACUUUUCCAACGUUGGCUGCAGUAAAUCUUUUCAAUAAAAGCUGUCUGGAUGUCUCAAGUUGUGUUGGGGAAUUUUUCAUGUUAGAAGCUUUCAAAUUAAGUUGUAUUACCCACAAACGCUGUAAUCAUGAAAAUCUGUUGACCUAUAGAGUAACUUGUAUGAAAAUUUCCAUACAUUGUGAGCCAAGUUUUUCUACUAUGUACCUACUUCAUCGAUGCAUUUUGAACUUUAAUAUAGGAAGGGGAAGAAGAAGGAGAUGAGGAAAACGAUCCUGACUAUGACCCAAAGAAGGAUCAGAACCCAGCAGAGUGCAAGCAGCAGUGAAGAGGAAGUCUGGCCAUGAGGACGGCCUACCCUGUAAUAGCCUAAACCCGACUGUCUCUUACUUACAGCCUUACAUUUUGUAUUUGCUUGGUAGACUCAGUACGUUUUUAAAGGAAAGGAAGUUGAUAUUUUAAAGACCAAUUUGUUCUACCUAGCAUCCUAACUAGAGUUCUGUCAGAUAUGUUGAAUGCAUAACUCCUUGCUAAUGCAUGUCCAUUUAUUGCUGCAGCUUGGUUCUUCUGGAAUAUUUUCACCAUAUUGGAAUACAGUUAUGAAAGUCUACUAACUGUUGAGCACAUUUGGUGUAGCUGUUUCUUUCCUAAAGAACCAAAGUUGUUUCCAGCUGAUAGAACAGGUUGAAGUCAUUAGCUCCUGCUUCCACUACAUUGUCAGGAUGAUGCGGUGACUGACAGAUUGGAGAAAAGGAAGUUGUGGUUAAGAAUUUCCAGUUAAGAUCAAACCUAAUAACAGAUUAUUAAGGGAGUUUUAUAUUUUAGAUGAUAUAAUUAUAACAGAAGUCAACUCAUGGUUAUUCGUUAUCAUAGUAAGGUGAACAAACCCUAGGGUUUUUUUGUUUUUUUUCAGAAGUUAAUCUGAUAGUAUUUAAAUGUACUUUGGAAAUUAACCUCCAUUAAUUAAGUAUCUUUUCUUUGUGGUAGGGCCUACCCUUCUGCUUUCCUGGAAAGGAUGGAUUUACAUCAUUUGAACCUAUUUUGAAUUUUCUCGUUUGUUUGUUUGCCUACUUUUGUUUUUAUAGCCUAAAAUAAAAAUGUUGCACAGUCUUAGCUCUCCCAGGAUGCUGUCUGUUUGUACUGAUGGAGGAGGCUAUUGCAGAGGGUUAGCUGCAGCCCAGGGAUGCCUAGUUUUCCGGAUUUCCGGAUUGAACAGCUUGGAGGUGGCAAUACGCCUGCGCUUUUAAAAGGGGGACAAGUGAUGUGUGAUAUUUUUUUUUUUUUUUUUUUUAAACAAAAAGGUUAAAUUCCAUUUGUUAAACUAAGUAGCUGUUUGGCUUCUUUGUUUCUGCUCAAGGAUGAGUGGUGUGUCCUCUAGCCAUGCCCCUGUUUGCUGUGGACAGUUAGGAACGGGUAGUCCUGUUGACUUAACUACCUCACAGAUAUGUUAAGGCAUACUGGGGUAAAUCUCACAAACUUUCUCAGUCUUACUAAAUGCUCACAAACACAGUGGGGCCUCUGUACCACAUUGUCGUCACACUAAGCUUGGCUAAUUCAACUGGAGAAGUUUAAACACCUAUAAUUACAGGUCUGAGCAUGUGACUCCUAUUGUAGUAGGAAUGGAUGAAAUUAGUGUGCCAUUUCAAGAGAUCGAUGGGUUGUUUUUAUUUAAUUUCAAGUGACCACAUUGUAAUAAAUUCCCAAAGUGGUAAUGAGGCCAUUGCAGGGAAGGGUGACAUUAAGUUUUAGAGACCGAGAGCUACAUUAAAAAUACCUCAGGCUAAUUACUGUUCAUUGGGGGGAAGGAACUUUUCUUCACAGGGUAUAGUGAUUGAACAGUGUAUCGUUCCUGCUGUUAAUAAAAUUUACAUUGAGUUGUUUUUUUCUUUUGUGGAGAGGUGAUAGCUCUUUGUGGAAUUUUCGUAUUGAGGUCUUAGGAUGUGAACACAUUUUAUAGCUGACCCCUUCCGGAGACUUUUAACUACUGGAAAUCCUUAACCAAUUGCAUUGUUUCCUUUAUUUUGAAAAUACUUUGGUUGCUUUCUAUUAGAUGGUUUGUACUAUUUUCUGUAAUCAUAGGCAUCUAAACACAGCUUAUUUUCUUGAACAUUCACGUUUGUAAUCUAAAGACAGAAGCCCAUUUUCGGUGGAUUUGGAGAACCAGUGCUUCCCUCCCUCCCUCCCUGAGGAGGAGGCUGUUGCCAAAGUAACAGGUAGCUGCAGCUUGUUGUGUAAUGGGAAUGUGCUGUGGACACAGGUCAGUGGUCAUUAUGACACACUACCAGUUCCCUGAUGGUCUACUCCAUUCUAGAAGUCUGAAAUAUGUAAUUUGAAAUCCUUAAUAAAAUUGGAUCUAAUUUUAUAAAAUA